This 476-nucleotide long non-coding RNA is filed under the name Setaria viridis. RNAcentral describes it as "long non-coding RNA (SVIR_LNC002821)". The record is from RNAcentral. Lineage: Eukaryota; Viridiplantae; Streptophyta; Magnoliopsida; Poales; Poaceae.
ACUACCGUAAUAUUCCACUGCUUUGAAACUCUGAAAUCUACUUUUAUGCAUUUGAACAUUCGGUUGUAAUAACUUAAUUUGGGACAUGUAAUUUCUUAUCUAGAUUGUUGUAAUCUCUGAACUUGUCUUCGUGCGAGCUUUGUAUGCUUGUUUCGAUUAGAAACACAUGGUUGUAUUGGGUGAAACCUGACAGACUACCAUCUUAAUUCGAUUAAAGUGUCUAUUCGCAUUUAAGGCGAUGUUAAGCACACUUUAGCUGGGUCAAUUUGGGUGGUUCUACCACACCAACACCGAGCAUCAGCCUUCUUAUCACUUGCAGAUGAUCGGCGUCCCUCUCAACUCCUCUCACCCCAUGUUCCUCCAUCGCACCGAAAGUGACAUCGCACAAUCGCGCACAUGUCGUCGCCAGUCCUUCAGAUGUAUCUCUCCUUUAUUUCUCUACCACUUCUCCCUUCGAUUAAUUCUCAUGAAGUGCC